UUUUGGAUGAAGUGUUCUAUAUAUAUCUAUUAAGUCCAUCUGGUCUAAUUUUUCAUUUAAUUCUAUUAUUUCCUUGUUGAUUUUCUGUCUGGAUGUUCUGUCCAUUGGUGUUAAUGGUGUGUUGAGGUCCCCUACUAUUAUUGUAUUGUUGUUGAUGUCUUCUUUUAGUUCUAUUAAGAGUUGCUUUACAAAUUUUGGUGCUCCUGUGUUGGGUGCAUAGAUAUUUAUAAACGUUAUUUCUUCUUGAUGAAGUCUCCCUUUGAUCAUUAUAUA
Molecule: long non-coding RNA, 273 nt
Filed under: Equus caballus (horse)
Lineage: Eukaryota; Metazoa; Chordata; Mammalia; Perissodactyla; Equidae
Description: lncRNA (ENSECAG00000053664.1)
Source: RNAcentral